UACGGGGGGAGCAAGCGUUGUUCGGAUUUACUGGGCGUAAAGGGCGCGUAGGCGGCCACCGCAAGUCGACUGUGAAAUCUCCGGGCUUAACCCGGAAAGGUCAGCCGAUACUGCGGGGCUAGAGUGCAGAAGGGGCAACUGGAAUUCUCGGUGUAGCGGUGAAAUGCGUAGAUAUCGAGAGGAACACCUGCGGCGAAGGCGGGUAGCUGGGCCGACACUGACGCUGAUGCGCGAAAGCCAGGGGAGCGAACGGG
Molecule: ribosomal RNA, 254 nt
Filed under: uncultured bacterium
Lineage: Bacteria
Description: partial 16S ribosomal RNA
Rfam family: Bacterial small subunit ribosomal RNA
Source: RNAcentral